ACGGAGGGUGCAAGCGUUGUCCGGAUUUAUUGGGUUUAAAGGGUGCGUAGGCGGGCCUUUAAGUCAGUGGUGAAAGCCUGCAGCUUAACUGUAGAACUGCCAUUGAUACUGGAGGCCUUGAGUGUACUAGAGGUAGGCGGAAUUUAUGGUGUAGCGGUGAAAUGCAUAGAUACCAUAAAGAACACCGAUAGCGUAGGCAGCUUACUGGAGUACAACUGACGCUGAGGCACGAAAGCAUGGGGAGCGAACAGG
This 252-nucleotide ribosomal RNA is filed under the name uncultured bacterium. Its description in RNAcentral is "partial 16S ribosomal RNA". It matches the Rfam family "Bacterial small subunit ribosomal RNA", at positions 525 to 776 of the family's 1533-position model. The record is from RNAcentral.